Molecule: long non-coding RNA, 1037 nt
Organism: Lynx canadensis (Canada lynx)
Lineage: Eukaryota; Metazoa; Chordata; Mammalia; Carnivora; Felidae
Exons: 3
Source: RefSeq, a predicted model, not a curated record
AGUACGCCCUGCUUGGCUCUUUGGAAGAUGGUGAAAAAAGUCUGUCCUUGCAACCAGCUCUGUAUGUGCCCUCCAGCAGAGCCGAAAUCAGGCAGGACACAGACUCCUUCUUCCUUUCUCAUCAAACCAUAGAAAUAGAAUUCCUUCAUCAUAACCUCAAAGCUUCCUCCUUCCCUUUGCACUCCUUCCUCAGCUGAAUGUUCCUGUUGCUUCCACAUACAAGUGCUUGCUUGCUCUCCUGGGAAAGGGGGGAACGGGUGAGAAUCCACAAACCAAUUGAACCAAUUGAGACUGAGGUCGUCUUCAGGAAAACCAUGUGUUCCUGGAGUUGAAAGAUUCAGGCACACCACAGAGAACCUUCUUCAUGACUAAUCUUGGUUCUUAACUCAUAGGCAACUGGGAGAGGUUGAAGCCUUCAUUCCUCCCGAGUUUGUUUACAAAUUUGUGUGUACGGGUCCAGGUGAAAAAGGUUUUUUGAACCGAGCAUGCUGUCUCUUUUAUCACCUCUUUCUGUUAAAGAAUGGCUAAAGACUGUGGCACAGUAUCCACAUGGUGUGGGAAGCCCAUCUUUUCCUGGGCCAAGCAUCUACCUUUGCUUUCCUUUAACUCCUACUUUAACCCUGCCUCAGUGCUCGAGAAAUCCUCUUUUGCCCUGCAUUCUGCAGCAUUCUAGAGCCUCACUGACCAUACCACACCUCCCUCAUCAGCGUGAUGCUGGGAAUAGAGUACUGAAACUUACUUUCCGUACUCUAGAUGCCAUGGGAAUGGGCAGAAAGGGGUCCCUCCCCUUUGUGCCUACCACCAUCUUGAGUUUUUUAGCCUCAUCUGCAACUCCUGAAGAGAACCUGUUUUCAUUACCCUCUUAUGCCAAAACAUUUGGCUAAACAAGACCUUGGAACCUUCCCGUCUUGCAUGGCUUCCCAACUCAUCCUCUCCCCAUUCAGUGGCUUGCCAUUCAUCAUCCUGUGAAGUUUUCCCUCUUCCUGAAGCCAAAACCCAACCUCCUUUUAAUGGUUGUAUUCUGUUGCUUCUUUUAA